RNAcentral lists this microRNA precursor (76 nucleotides) under Ictidomys tridecemlineatus (thirteen-lined ground squirrel). RNAcentral describes it as "miRNA (ENSSTOG00000018463.1)". The record is from RNAcentral. Lineage: Eukaryota; Metazoa; Chordata; Mammalia; Rodentia; Sciuridae.
UUGUUCUCUCUCCCCUACCACCUACCUCUUCCUGCCCUGCUGCAGGCAAGGAGAGGGUGGAGGGAGGGCCAGCAAG